Molecule: long non-coding RNA, 1062 nt
Organism: Callorhinus ursinus (northern fur seal)
Lineage: Eukaryota; Metazoa; Chordata; Mammalia; Carnivora; Otariidae
Source: RefSeq, a predicted model, not a curated record
ACUUCCACUUAGUGAACAGUAAACCACCACCAAGCCGUACAGGUAAUAAGCUCAUCUGUGGGGUAUGUGAGUAUCUGUGUGUGAAAAUCUAAGAACGGUAGGGACAACCACCAUCUGAGACAUGUCUGUGUCAUCACCAUCAUCACUGCCUAUGUAUUCACCAUAAAGAACGUCGUGUGUCCAUGACCUGCAUGGAAGUGGAUAGCCUAUGCUUAUGUAGGCAUAAGCAAUGCUGCUUCUCCACUGGAUGGCCUGAAAUAUCAAAAGAUCGUUCUAUGCUGCAGACAGUGAACAAAAUCAAUUGCGGAAAAUGAUUCUACUACCGAAGGAUGCAUGCUACAGGUCUUCUCUCUUGGUGUCUCCAACCUAAGCCUGCAAAUAUCUUUAAGGGGCUCCCAUUUAAAUGCAAAACACUGGGCCUGCAGAAGGUUUUCUGGCUCAAGUAUCAAUCCCUGAUAUUGCCAUCUGGGACCAAGUACUGAGUUCCUGUCUCAAAAUUCAAAGACAGACACAGCCGAGACCCUUCAUAAAGGGGUAGGAGUAAAGCAAGCGCUCCGAGACCUCUAGGGAGGUUGGUGAUUAACUGGCCAACACCAUGAAGAUGGUCCAACCUAAAAAAGGAGUCCUUGUUAUCCCAGCCUUCGUUAUUCAAGUCGUCUGCUACAAGAACACACAGAAAAGCAAAAGUUGUGCUAACAAAAACAAUCAUUAAUGAACUGACCAUUCAAACUGUCCCUGGUUAUCCCGAGCCUCUAUGUCCACCCAUCAACCCCUUUCUUUCUCUCUGUCUCACUGAUGCUCAUACAGUCCCAACAACAAUUCAAACAGAAUGCAAAUCCAGAACAAAGUGAAAACUGAAAAAAAGGCAACACAAGAUGCAACAUUUGACAAAGUUAGUGUAAGAUACUAAUGAAAUAUUAGAACCCCAAAUGAGGACAGCGCCUGAGAAAUGAGGCCACAGGAGGAGUUAGGAAGGUUAGUAACUGAUGAGAAAAAUCAACGAGAACAAUAAUAUGCUAAGUGUCUCAAGAAUAAUUAUUUGAUUAUCGGUGACUAAUGGGG